RNAcentral lists this unclassified non-coding RNA (343 nucleotides) under soil metagenome. RNAcentral's name for it is "partial contains 5.8S ribosomal RNA, internal transcribed spacer 2, and large subunit ribosomal RNA". The stretch from base 1 to 120 matches the Rfam family "5.8S ribosomal RNA", at positions 35 to 154 of the family's 154-position model. The record is from RNAcentral.
GAUGAAGAACGUAGCGAAAUGCGAUAAGUAAUGUGAAUUGCAGAAUCCAGUGAAUCAUCGAAUCUUUGAACGCACAUUGCGCCCGCCAGCAUUCUGGCGGGCAUGCCUGUUCGAGCGUCAUUUCAACCCUCGACCUCCCUUUGGGGAAGUCGGCGUUGGGGACCGGCAGCACACCGCCGGCCCUGAAAUGGAGUGGCGGCCCGUCCGCGGCGACCUCUGCGUAGUAAACCAACUCGCACCGGAACCCCGACGUGGCCACGCCGUAAAACACCCCACUUCUGAACGUUGACCUCGAAUCAGGUAGGACUACCCGCUGAACUUAAGCAUAUCAAUAAGCGGAGGA